UGCCAGCCGCCGCGGUAACACAGAGGGUGCAAACGUUGCUCGGAAUCACUGGGCGUAAAGCGCGUGUAGGCGGACUCGCAAGUCGGGUGUGAAAUCCCUGGGCUCAACCCAGGAACUGCAUCCGAAACUGCGAGUCUUGAGUGUCGGAGAGGGAAGCGGAAUUCCGGGUGUAGAGGUGAAAUUCGUAGAUAUCCGGAGGAACACCGGUGGCGAAGGCGGCUUCCUGGACGACUACUGACGCUGAGACGCGAAAGCGUGGGGAGCAAACAGGAUUAGAUA
RNAcentral lists this ribosomal RNA (279 nucleotides) under uncultured bacterium. RNAcentral describes it as "partial 16S ribosomal RNA". It matches the Rfam family "Bacterial small subunit ribosomal RNA", at positions 506 to 784 of the family's 1533-position model. The record is from RNAcentral.